Molecule: small nucleolar RNA, 84 nt
Organism: Arabidopsis thaliana (thale cress)
Lineage: Eukaryota; Viridiplantae; Streptophyta; Magnoliopsida; Brassicales; Brassicaceae
Rfam family: Small nucleolar RNA R44/J54/Z268 family
About the family: R44, J54 and Z268 are members of the C/D class of snoRNA which contain the C (UGAUGA) and D (CUGA) box motifs. Most of the members of the box C/D family function in directing site-specific 2'-O-methylation of substrate RNAs.
Source: Rfam
AGUGCAAGUGACGAUGAAUAGACAGGGACAUCAGAAGUUCUAUAAUGAUGACUAAUGUCUAGAUGGGAAUCUCUCUGAUGCACA